This 483-nucleotide ribosomal RNA is filed under the name uncultured bacterium. Its description in RNAcentral is "partial 16S ribosomal RNA". It matches the Rfam family "Bacterial small subunit ribosomal RNA", at positions 30 to 506 of the family's 1533-position model. The record is from RNAcentral.
AUUGAACGCUGGCGGCAGGCCUAACACAUGCAAGUCGAGCGGAUGAAGGGAGCUUGCUCCUGGAUUCAGCGGCGGACGGGUGAGUAAUGCCUAGGAAUCUGCCUGGUAGUGUGGGAUAACGUCCGGAAACGGGCGCUAAUACCGCAUACGUCCUGAGGGAGAAAGUGGGGGAUCUUCGGACCUCACGCUAUCAGAUGAGCCUAGGUCGGAUUAGCUAGUUGGUGGGGUAAAGGCCUACCAAGGCGACGAUCCGUAACUGGUCUGAGAGGAUGAUCAGUCACACUGGAAGUGAGACACGGUCGAGACUCCUACGGGAGGCAGCAGUGGGGAAUAUUGGAAAAUGGGCGAAAGCCUGAUCCAGCCAUGGCGCGUGUGUGAAGAAGGUCUUCGGAUUGUAAAGCAGUUUAAGUUGGGAGGAAGGGCAGUAAGUUAAUACCUUGCUGUUUGGACGUUACCAACAGAAUAAGCACCGGCGAACUUCGU